CUACGGGGGGCACCAGUGGGGAAUUUUGCGCAAUGGGCGGAAGCCUGACGCAGCAAUACCGCGUGAGUGAAGAAGGCCUUUGGGUCGUAAAGCUCUUUUCUGAAGGAAGAUAGUGACGGUACUUCAGGAAUAAGCACCGGCUAACUCCGUGCCAGCAGCCGCGGUAAUACGGAGGGUGCAAGCGUUGUUCGGAUUUACUGGGCGUAAAGGGCACGUAGGCGGCACAGCAAGUUAAGGGUGAAAUCCCGGGGCUCAACUCCGGAACUGCUCUUAAAACUGCUGAGCUAGAGAUAGUCAGAGGCGGGUGGAAUUCCUGGUGUAGAGGUGAAAUUCGUAGAUAUCAGGAGGAACACCGGUGGCGAAGGCGGCCCGCUGGGGCUAUUCUGACGCUAAGGUGCGAAAGCGUGGGGAGCGAACGGGAUUAGAUACCCUGGUAGUC
RNAcentral lists this ribosomal RNA (439 nucleotides) under uncultured bacterium. RNAcentral's name for it is "partial 16S ribosomal RNA". It matches the Rfam family "Bacterial small subunit ribosomal RNA", at positions 339 to 795 of the family's 1533-position model. The record is from RNAcentral.